AACGAACGCUGGCGGCGCGCUUAACACAUGCAAGUCGAACGAGAAGGCGUAGCAAUACGCUUGUACAGUGGCGAACGGGUGAGUAAUACGUGGGCGACCUACCCUCGAGUGGGGAAUAACCCGCCGAAAGGCGGGCUAAUGCCGCGUACGCUUCCAUCUUUAUGGAGGUGGAAGGAAAGCCGUGCCGUGGGCACGGCGCUCAAGGAUGGGCUCACGUCCUAUCAGCUUGUUGGAGGGUAACGGCCUACCAAGGCUCCGACGGGUAGCUGGUCUGAGAGGACGAUCAGCCACACUGGCACUGCGACACGGGCCAGACUCCUACGGGAGCAGCAGUGAGGAAUAUUGCGCAAUGGGCGAAAGCCUGACGCAGCGACGCCGCGGUGGGGGAGUGGAAGGUCG
RNAcentral lists this ribosomal RNA (399 nucleotides) under uncultured bacterium. RNAcentral describes it as "bacterial SSU rRNA". It matches the Rfam family "Bacterial small subunit ribosomal RNA", at positions 29 to 420 of the family's 1533-position model. The record is from RNAcentral.